UGAUAGGGUAGGUCUGCAAAGUGCGCCACAUCCUGUGGCAAAGCAAGACAUGACCCGCAUCGUGCGGG
This 68-nucleotide small RNA is filed under the name Psychrobacillus sp. OK032. RNAcentral describes it as "Bacillaceae-1 RNA". It matches the Rfam family "Bacillaceae-1 RNA". The record is from RNAcentral. Lineage: Bacteria; Bacillati; Bacillota; Bacilli; Caryophanales; Bacillaceae.